GGCCUAACACAUGCAAGUCGAACGGUAACAGGAAGCAGCUUGCUGCUUUGCUGACGAGUGGCGGACGGGUGAGUAAUGUCUGGGAAACUGCCUGAUGGAGGGGGAUAACUACUGGAAACGGUAGCUAAUACCGCAUAACGUCGCAAGACCAAAGAGGGGGACCUUCGGGCCUCUUGCCAUCGGAUGUGCCCAGAUGGGAUUAGCUAGUAGGUGGGGUAACGGCUCACCUAGGCGACGAUCCCUAGCUGGUCUGAGAGGAUGACCAGCCACACUGGAACUGAGACACGGUCCAGACUCCUACGGGAGGCAGCAGUGGGGAAUAUUGCACAAUGGGCGCAAGCCUGAUGCAGCCAUGCCGCGUGUAUGAAGAAGGCCUUCGGGUUGUAAAGUACUUUCAGCGGGGAGGAAGGCGAUAAGGUUAAUAACCUUGUCGAUUGACGUUACCCGCAGAAGAAGCACCGGCUAACUCCGUGCCAGCAGCCGCGGUAAUACGGAGGGUGCAAGCGUUAAUCGGAAUUACUGGGCGUAAAGCGCACGCAGGCGGUCUGUCAAGUCGGAUGUGAAAUCCCCGGGCUCAACCUGGGAACUGCAUUCGAAACUGGCAGGCUAGAGUCUUGUAGAGGGGGGUAGAAUUCCAGGUGUAGCGGUGAAAUGCGUAGAGAUCUGGAGGAAUACCGGUGGCGAAGGCGGCCCCCUGGACAAAGACUGACGCUCAGGUCGGAAAGCGUGGG
This 731-nucleotide ribosomal RNA is filed under the name Enterobacter hormaechei. RNAcentral describes it as "bacterial SSU rRNA". It matches the Rfam family "Bacterial small subunit ribosomal RNA", at positions 45 to 765 of the family's 1533-position model. Lineage: Bacteria; Pseudomonadati; Pseudomonadota; Gammaproteobacteria; Enterobacterales; Enterobacteriaceae. The record is from RNAcentral.